This 634-nucleotide ribosomal RNA is filed under the name Propionibacteriaceae bacterium Se1Pw_3158. RNAcentral describes it as "bacterial SSU rRNA". It matches the Rfam family "Bacterial small subunit ribosomal RNA", at positions 382 to 1027 of the family's 1533-position model. The record is from RNAcentral. Lineage: Bacteria; Bacillati; Actinomycetota; Actinomycetes; Propionibacteriales; Propionibacteriaceae.
CCUGACGCAGCAACGCCGCGUGCGGGAUGACGGCCUUCGGGUUGUAAACCGCUUUCAGCAGGGACGAAGGGUCACCUUGACGGUACCUGCAGAAGAAGCACCGGCUAACUACGUGCCAGCAGCCGCGGUGAUACGUAGGGUGCGAGCGUUGUCCGGAAUUAUUGGGCGUAAAGAGCUUGUAGGCGGUCUGUUGCGUCGGAAGUGAAAACUCAGGGCUUAACCCUGAGCCUGCUUUCGAUACGGGCAGACUUGAGGGAUGUAGGGGAGAACGGAAUUCCUGGUGGAGCGGUGGAAUGCGCAGAUAUCAGGAGGAACACCAGUGGCGAAGGCGGUUCUCUGGACAUUUCCUGACGCUGAGAAGCGAAAGCGUGGGGAGCAAACAGGCUUAGAUACCCUGGUAGUCCACGCCGUAAACGGUGGGCACUAGGUGUGGGUUCCAUUCCACGGAAUCCGUGCCGAAGCUAACGCAUUAAGUGCCCCGCCUGGGGAGUACGGCCGCAAGGCUAAAACUCAAAGGAAUUGACGGGGGCCCGCACAAGCGGCGGAGCAUGCGGAUUAAUUCGAUGCAACGCGAAGAACCUUACCUGGGUUUGACAUAUGCCGGAAACACCUAGAGAUAGGUGCCCCGCAAGGC